Molecule: RNA transcript, 2605 nt
Organism: Chelonia mydas (Green sea turtle)
Lineage: Eukaryota; Metazoa; Chordata; Testudines; Cheloniidae
Gene: CSTF2
Gene name: cleavage stimulation factor subunit 2
Exons: 14
Source: RefSeq, a predicted model, not a curated record
GCUUGUUUCCAGCCGGAGCACGAGGGUGCCGGAAGCGGGGGGGGGACUGGAAGCGCUGCAGCGGCGGUGGGUGAAGGAUGGCGGGGCUGGCGGUGCGGGACCCCGCGGUGGAUCGCUCGCUGCGCUCCGUGUUCGUGGGGAAUAUUCCAUACGAAGCCACAGAGGAGCAGCUAAAGGACAUUUUCUCAGAGGUCGGACCUGUCGUCAGUUUCAGGUUGGUGUAUGACAGGGAGACAGGCAAACCAAAGGGAUAUGGCUUUUGUGAAUACCAAGACCAGGAGACAGCACUCAGCGCCAUGCGGAACCUGAAUGGGCGUGAGUUCAGCGGGAGGGCAUUGCGUGUGGACAACGCAGCCAGUGAGAAGAAUAAGGAGGAGCUGAAGAGCCUGGGCACAGGUGCCCCUAUCAUAGAGUCACCAUAUGGAGACCCUAUAAAUCCUGAAGACGCCCCCGAGUCUAUCAGCAGGGCAGUUGCCAGCCUGCCACCUGAGCAGAUGUUUGAGCUGAUGAAGCAGAUGAAGUUGUGUGUGCAGAACAGCCCUCAGGAGGCACGGAACAUGCUGCUCCAGAACCCUCAGCUGGCAUAUGCCCUGCUGCAGGCCCAAGUGGUGAUGAGGAUCGUCGAUCCAGAGAUUGCUCUGAAAAUUCUGCAUCGUCAGACCAGUGUUCCACCUCUGAUUCCAGGCAACCCACAGCCAGUUCCUGGGCCUGGGCCUGGGCCUGGACCCGGGCCCGGGCCUGGUCCAGGUCCUAAUGCACAGAUGAACCAGCAGAAUCCCCCAUCGUCCCAGCCACAGCCCAUAGGUGGCAUGCAUGUAAAUGGAGCUCCUCCUCUGAUGCAGCCUCCUAUGCAGGGUGGAGUGCCAGCCCCAGGACAGAUGCCAGCCUCCGUAGCCGGCCCCGGCCCCUUGGCUCCUGGAGGUGGAAUGCAGCCUCAGGUCGGGAUGCCGGGAGGUGGACCAGUGCCCUUGGAACGUGGACAAGGAAACCUGCAGCUCUCGCCCGUGGGACCUGCCAGGCCUGCAUCUAUCGAGCGAGUUCAAGUGCCCAUGCCAGACCCGAGGGCCCCUAUGCAGCGUGGACCAUUACCUGCUAGCGGCCCACCUCCCCGGGGCCUUCUGGGAGAUGCUCCAAAUGACCCACGUGGAGGGACCCUGCUCUCAGUCACUGGAGAAGUGGAGCCCAGAGGUUACCUUGGGCCACCCCACCAAGGUCCACCCAUGCACCAUAUGCCCGGCCAUGACAAUCGUGGUCCACCCCCACAUGAAAUGAGGGUAGGACCAAUGGGAGAACCCAGGCCACUGAUGGGAGAACCUAGAGGGCCUUUGAUGGAUGCUCGAGGUGGAAGAGAUCCCAGGGGCAUGGAGCCGAGAGGCAUGGAGCCCAGGGGCAUGGAGCCGAGAGGCAUGGAGCCCAGGGGCAUGGAGCCAAGAGGCAUGGAGCCCAGGGGCAUGGAGCCGAGAGGCAUGGAGCCCAGGGGCAUGGAACCGAGAGGCAUGGAGCCCAGGGGCAUGGAGCCCAGAGGGAUGGAACCCAGAGGCAUGGAUGCCAGAGGAAUGGAGCCCAGGGGCCCUGGCCCCAACCCAAGGGGCCCAAUGCCUGGUGGAAUUCAAGGACCUGGGCCACUUAACUUGGGAGCAAGUGGCCCUCAGGGACCUAGACAGGUUCCCAACAUGCCAGGGGCAGGCAUACAAGGAGGUGGCAUGCCAGGGGCAGGCAUACAAGCAGGAGGCAUGCCAGGGGCGGUGGUACAAGGAGCUGGCCAGCCAGGUGGCUUUAGCCCUGGGCAGAACCAGGUCACUCCCCAAGAUCAUGAGAAGGUGAGUGAACAAAGGGCAACUCAGGGUUUGGAGGGAGGGGAUGGAGGCUGGAUACCCUAUUGCUGUGGGAAUGAACUCAGUGCUCCUUCUCUCUGGCACAGCAAGAGUCUCCAGCGUCUUGUAGUUUCUGUGCUGGGGCCAAGUCAGCCUGGGGAGUUAAUGCUCCUGCAGCUUUCCAGGAGAAUGUUCCUAAGCAGCAGCAAGGCAGGUGGUUUGAAACUUUUCCUAUGGGUGUGGCCAGUGAGCCAGGUCCUUUCAGUUGAUGAGAGUUUAUACUGCUCCUGCGCUUUGCCUUCGUCCUGUCUCCUCCUUCCCUCCCUCCAGCAGCCUGGUCUCUGGAUAACUUCCUCUUUACUGGCUUUUCUGUAACCCUUUGCUGCGCCCUUCCUCCUGGGAAAUUGCUCGUGCACAUGGUGUUGCAGAUCCUCCCCUCUCUCCACAGGCUGCCCUGAUCAUGCAGGUUCUCCAGCUAACUGCAGACCAGAUCGCCAUGCUGCCUCCAGAGCAAAGGCAAAGCAUCCUUAUCCUAAAGGAGCAGAUCCAGAAAUCCACUGGGGCUCCAUAACAGAAGACACUUGGUGACCCUGGCAGCAACCCUGAAGAUCCAGACCUGUGGGAUGGAGGAGGCACCCAAGGCAGCAGCUUCACCUCAUCACCAUCUGACCUGGUGCAGCCAUCAGGGGAAGGGUGCCCCCUUCUUCCCACUCAGCAUAACCCCCGUACUUUUCAUUCUGUGUUUUGUGUGUGUUUUACAGUAUUUGAAAUAAACUUGGAGGAGGAUUUGA